GCUGGAGUAGAGUAGUAGUUAACUCGUCGCCCUCCCAUAUUAUUGGCAAAGGCGGAAACCUGGGUGCAAAUCCCGGCUCUAGCA
Non-coding RNA from Podospora appendiculata, 84 nucleotides. Lineage: Eukaryota; Fungi; Ascomycota; Sordariomycetes; Sordariales; Podosporaceae. The record is from the annotation of a GenBank genome assembly.